CCCUUCCAUCCCCGCCCCGCUCCACUUCCAUCCUUGCGCCCCGCUCGCCAGGUCGCCCGUGCUCGCACCCCCGAUCAUCCGGCUCCCCUUCCAUCCCCGCCGUCAUAUCGAUCCCUGCUGCCCCUGCACCAACGCCGAGUCACGCAGCGAGGAUCCCCGCCGCCAAUCGUGGUUGUGGAGGCAGGCCAGGCAGCAGCGAGAUCCAGCAGGGCGCUCGGCCCUCCCCGAUCCGAGCGACCGCACGGCAAACCCAGCCCGCCGCCAUCCUGGUCUUCGAGGUCGUGCUCUCCCUCCCCAGGCCAGGACAUGAUCGCUCAAGCCUCGAGGCAGGCGGUGUGAGGCCAAGGGCGGUGGCACCUCACCAGCAAGCGCCACCUCCUCCCACAGAUCCGUCGACACCUUCAACCCCUACGCCCGUAAACCUACCACCCCCGCCUCCUUGUUUCUCUGUCCAUCACUAGGGUUUGCGUUGCUCAGGGUGCACAACAUGGAUUGAUCUGCUCUCCCCAGUCAUGCCGAUCUGUGGUAGAAUCUUACACUCUCGGAUCAUUAACUUGUUGAGAAUGUUGAUGAAGAUAUGGUCUUCCUACAAUCUCUGAUUGAACAUUCUGAAGCCUGCUAUAACCAUUUUUCACUUUUGCAUUGCUACCUUGUUUAGUUCUUAAUAACCCAGCUUCACUAUUUUUUGAUGCAUCCUAUAUAGUUUGGGUUUUUCUUUAUGUAUCAACACCUAGGUUAGUACCUAAAGUCAGAAAAUGAAUACAGUGGAAGGUGGAACCAAUACAUGUUACAGAUACAUGUGUACUGCACGGGUUGCUAUUUACUUAUUUAUUUAAUAGCACAAUACGUGUGUACAAGUGAAUGGGAAUAUUGAUAUCGAUUUUGGUUUAGAAUAUUGGUUUAGUAGAACAACUGUCUUUAAGCAUUCAAAACCUGAAAAGGUAGGCCAAUUUUAAAGAUAUGAAUAGCUAAAGAGGUGAGUUUUGAUAUUUGGGAAAUUUACAGACCAAGCAUGAAAAUCAGACUAAUUUCUUUAGUAACAGGUUAACACAUCUGGUUGUGGUACAUGCAAUCGUUGUUAUUCCCUUAUGAUAUAAACUUUUGCUUGCAAAAUAGAGUCUGACAGUAUGCUUUGAUUCUACAGAUAUUUCUGAGAAUUGCGUAACUGCAUAAUCUUAAUAGGGAGUUCCAUUUUGGGGUAUCACCACAAAUUAUUUGGAAGAGGGGUUCAGUCGAAGAACUUAGGUUAUACUUCGACAAAGAAUAGAAGGUGAGUUCCCAUCUUGUUUUUUUCCUUGAACAACUCCUAGCAAUUUGUUGCUAUGAAAUAUUAUGGCCAUGAGUAGAACCAUUGUUGUGCACACAAGUUACCAUCAAAGCAGAUAUGUUAAUAUUGUUAUUCCUACAAGAUCAAAAUUUUGUUUGCUAAAAUUUGGAUGGAUCUGAAAAUUUUUAUGUCCAAUGUAUAUGUGCUGAACGACCCUCUAGGCGAUGAUAAAUUAUAAAUAUGAUUCAUGAAACCUAUUUAAAGGACUAUACUUCAGUUAUAUCGGCUUCACAAAGUUUGGUUAUCUCCUACAACUAAAAAGAAAGAAAGUAAGACCAUCAUUUUGUGCGACAAUUGUAGCUCCGUCGGUCCACUUCACCCCCUGCGACCUCCGUGAUUCUACCACACCCUAGCCAGGUACCACAUCCAGAGAACCAGGUACAUUGUGUACCUUGUUCGCACCAUUGUAGCCUGAACCCUGCCCCGCCAGGCCGACCAUAACAGGUAUUACCUCAUUGACCAGUAGCUCAUAACAGCCUGGACUGGGACAAGGAUUUAUUUUUCUUCAGACUAUAUGGUCUGUCAUAGUGUAGUGUACAUGGUCUGGCAAUAAGGAAUAUAAUUAUUUGCUAGGAUGGAUGCCGAGUUGUUUACAUGUGUGCGGGCUGUCUGUUUUCUGGUUAUGACAAGGCUUAUAUGCAGACAUGUGUUCUUUUGGUGGUUUUCUUGAGGUGUUGAAUUGAUAAAAUAUGAUUUGAGGUGUCUUCAUGCAUCAACCAGUCCCUAAAUUUCCCAUUGCUAAUAAGAAACAAAACACCUAAACACAGAUCAUGCAUUGGAUUCAAAAUACUUGUUCAUACUUGCGGCCAAGCCUUUGGUCUGUGGUUUAAUUAAUCACUCUAUAAUUUAGUGAUUUAAUAUAUGCAAAAUAUAUUCUGCUGCCACUACUUUUCAUAAGGUAUUCCCCAUGUCCAAUUACACAAAUGGAUGUACGAGUGGCACAAACUUCUUGAAUAGACAGGAAAUAGAAGAACAACACUAGAAAAUUUUGUCUCACUUGCCUUGUUCUCAUGAUGAGUUUGUAUUGGAAGUUAUAUAUUUGUUUCUUCAGAUGCAGUAAGUAUGUUUUCAAGUAAUUUAGUGUCAUUGUUUUUUACAAGUUGGCUUGAAAGAACUUUCUGGCUACAUUUUGGGCACUGUGUAAUUUUGUGCCACCAGCAUUGGCCUAUUUAGUAAUCUCUGGUGUUAGAGACCAUGGUCAAAAUUUGACUUGUGAUCUGCUAGGUUAUAGACCAAAUUCAUAAAUUCAAGGAUCUGAGAUUUCAGAAAAGAAAUUAAAGGAUGUGCAGGACUUCUGAUCCUCUGUGCCAUUAUUUGAGAAUUCUUGUGUGAUUAUCUGAGAAUAUAGUUAUAAAGUUAUAAUGAUUCUUGUGAUCUGCUAUUAUUAAGUCUACUUAUAGGCCAGCUGAAAAGAAUUAUAGUUGCUUUUGACCAAGUCAUUCUGGGAUCUAUUUUUUUCUUAAUAGUUACUAAAAAUGACUUGAAGUUAAGUGCUAAUAAAUCAUUUUAUUACCAAUUGCUUAGUUGAGGAAAACAUUUACUUACAAAAAUCUGAGCUAAAGUUGGGCAUUUGUGAUUUUAGUGAUCCUUUUAAACCAUCAUAUACUUUAUCUUAAUGACUGAAGUCAAACCGUGCUGCGGCUCCUUCGAACCGGACACCAACAGUAACGAGCUACAACAUUGACAGAUCAUUCUUAUGACUCCGAAGGUGGUCUCUGGUUUUAAAUUCAAAUUCAUAUAUAUCUUAUCCCUUAAUUUAAUUAUUUUUGAGAAACAAAUGGAUUUAAAAAUAUGACAGCAGACAAAAGACAUUACAUAUUUGACUGGGCUAUGGAGAUUUUCUUCCUGCCACCAUAUGAAUUGUGAAUCUUUUCGUAUCAUUUUUUGUGUAGUGUGUACUGCUUGUGCAGGCCAUGAUUUUUGGCCUGACGCUCGACCCAAACCUGGUAUUUCACGUUUUGGUUUUUGGAGGAUUGGAGCUACCUCUAUACAACGAUGCUCUGAUUAGAGUUCUUAAGGUGCACAAGCUCAAUAGGCUGGGAGGCUGGAGGUGUCACAUAUUACUGUAACAAUCUCCACUAUAGGGAAUUUAGUACAGCGAUGCACACUGCAAGCUGAUAUAAUCAGGCUACCUGCCAUUCAUACAUAUUGAAUUGGGUUGUCAUUCUCGGAGUAGGAGCGUUGUAAACUGGCUUGCCAUGUUUGAUAUCAUUUGUACCAAAGAAAUAAGAAAAUGACAUAUUGAGAUCUCAACAUAAUUAUCAAGCUCUGUUGAGCAUACUGCUAUUGCGAUCAUAUCUGAGUAUGCUACUGCUGUCAGCAUGAUGUUUUUCUAUUCAUCACUGAGAUCAUGUCAUGUUCAAAUUUUGUCACCCUCCAUAGGAUUUUUCUUUUGUGAUCGUGUCUCAGGGAACAUGAUAUUUGUUAUCUACCUGGCUCCUUGUGAAUUUCUACCUAUUAUGGAGUAAUUAAUCCUGUGCUUAUGUCUUUGGUUGUUGCUACACUUUUCUAAUUCAUUGUUUGUACUUUGCAGGAUGAAACCUAGAAGGCUAAAUAAUUUUGUUGAUAUUUGCCGAACAGAACACUCUAUUUGAUCAUGAUCUCUACAUAUGAUUUGCAUUGUUUCUUUUGUCGACAAUAGCAUGGCCAUUAUAUUAUGUGAGCCAGCGCGUUUAACACUGUCAUCACUGCAGAGAAACUAGAACAUUGGUGCUGCUCAGGAGAAUCGUCAGGACACUCUUAUCGUCAAGAAGUUUGCCUCUCACAAUUGUCUUGAGUCUUGACGAGGGUGAUCUGAUGGCAGCAUGCUUACAACCUAGAUAGUGCCCCUCAGGCAAUUGCCUCCAUGGAUGGUGUGACCUCUGCAACUAGACAUUUCAUUCUAGAAUCCCCAAUUGUAGUCGGAUUUAUUUAUUUUUCUUGAGAUUUAUUCUUCUCCUUAUUCUCCAGCUAAGGACAAAGUUGAUUUCUAGCUUAGAGGUUUUCAUUUCUCCUAUGUAGAUCGUGGUGCAGACAUGGUGUUAGGGAGGAAGCAGUUGGAGCGAUUUUACCUUCACUGCUGAUUGUUGAAUUCCUACAGUGUUUUUGUUUUGCUUCAUAUUUUAAGAUACACAUCUACACUUCAGUCGACUGAAAUCUUGGAGGCAUUUCAGGCAUCAAGUUUGGGGAGAGGAUAUCCAUGGCCAUUUUCCGUUGCCGGCAACCUUAGUCACCAUAGCUCGGUUAGCCCAUGAUGGUGUAGUUGACAAACACUUAUCAAUUAUAAGUUGUCAGCCGUCUUCUCUUCAGCACUGGUAUGGUAAAAAUACAGCACAUUAAUACUCAAAUUAUUGAGAUAUUGAUUUUUUCAUUGCAACACAAACUUUUUUUUUCUAAUUAUAUAAAAUAGGUGCAUCAUGGAAAGGUAUACGGUAGAGUUUGUGAGCCUAUGACAUUAUGGUCUUCAUGACGGUUAAUUUCACAAACUUUGUCUUCUGGAUUAAAUGUCAUUUUAAUUGUUCGUAUUUAAUUUUAUAGUACUGUUAUUUUAUCAUGCGAUCUAUGUAUUUUUAAUACAAAAGUUUAGAUAUCCCGUAGCAACGCACGGGCACGCUACCUAGUAUAGGCGAGUAAAGUUGAGCAUGCGGCCCGCGGGUCGAAUGCACGGCUCAAAGCACGGUGAUUUAGCCCGGCUCAAGCACGGCACGGCCUGAUCUAACCAGGCCCGGGCCGGUCCGAAGCACGUAACGGGCCAUGCUUGGGCUGACCCCUCGGCC
Molecule: long non-coding RNA, 5082 nt
Filed under: Sorghum bicolor (sorghum)
Lineage: Eukaryota; Viridiplantae; Streptophyta; Magnoliopsida; Poales; Poaceae
Description: long non-coding RNA (SBIC_LNC003690)
Source: RNAcentral